UUUCAUCAUGAUGAAAUUAGUCAAAUAGAGCUAAGCACUAUGUAUUGGAUAAUGACCGGCCAACAUAAUUAUUUUAGAUACUUAAUCAGGCAAUAUAUGCAGGACAUAAUAGCUAAAGACACAAUGUUACCAUAUGGGGGGUUAGUCACUCGAUUAAUACUUGCCCAUAAUAUUUGUGUCUCACCCGAUGAAGAAAUAAUUCAAUUUGA
This 209-nucleotide long non-coding RNA is filed under the name Musa acuminata (dwarf banana). RNAcentral describes it as "long non-coding RNA (MACU_LNC011335)". The record is from RNAcentral. Lineage: Eukaryota; Viridiplantae; Streptophyta; Magnoliopsida; Zingiberales; Musaceae.